AUAAUUAGUGUCUUAUUUUUGUUGAUUUCUUGUCAAAUUUUUGUAAUUGCAUCGAAAUAGGCCAAAAAUAAAGUAAAAAUCAACUUCCAACACAGAAAAACUGACAAAAUUGAAGAUUUUUGCUGAAUUCAGGCAAUUUUUCGUAAUUUUGAUCCUC
Small nucleolar RNA from Caenorhabditis elegans, 157 nucleotides. Lineage: Eukaryota; Metazoa; Nematoda; Chromadorea; Rhabditida; Rhabditidae. The record is from Ensembl.